AGUGAACGCUGGCGGUAGGCCUAACACAUGCAAGUCGAACGGCAGCACAGUAAGAGCUUGCUCUUACGGGUGGCGAGUGGCGGACAGGUGAGGAAUACAUCGGAAUCUACUUUUUCGUGGGGGAUAACGUAGGGAAACUUACGCUAAUACCGCAUACGACCUACGGGUGAAAGCAUGGGAUCUUCUGACCUUGCGCGAUUGAAUGAGCCGAUGUCGGAUUAGCUAGUUGGCGGGGUAAAGGCCCACCAAGGCGACGAUCCGUAGCUGGUCUGAGAGGAUGAUCAGCGACACUGGAACUGAGACACGGUCCAGAGUCCUACGGGAGGCAGCAGUGGGGAAUAUUGGACAAUGGGCGCAAGCCUGAUCCAGCCAUACCGCGUGGGUGAAGAAGGCCUUCGGGCUGUAAAGCCCUUUUGUUGGGAAAGAAAAGCAGCAGGUUAAUACCCCGCUGUUCUGACGGUACCCAAAGAAUAAGCACCGGCUAACUUCGUG
Molecule: ribosomal RNA, 492 nt
Filed under: uncultured bacterium
Lineage: Bacteria
Description: partial 16S ribosomal RNA
Rfam family: Bacterial small subunit ribosomal RNA
Source: RNAcentral